UACGAAGGGGGCUAGCGUUGUUCGGAAUUACUGGGCGUAAAGCGCACGUAGGCGGUUUUGUAAGUCAGGGGUGAAAUCCCGGGGCUCAACCUCGGAACUGCCUUUGAUACUGCAAGUCUCGAGUCCGAUAGAGGUGAGUGGAAUUCCUAGUGUAGAGGUGAAAUUCGUAGAUAUUAGGAAGAACACCAGUGGCGAAGGCGGCUCACUGGAUCGGUACUGACGCUGAGGUGCGAAAGCGUGGGGAGCAAACAGG
RNAcentral lists this ribosomal RNA (253 nucleotides) under uncultured bacterium. RNAcentral's name for it is "partial 16S ribosomal RNA". It matches the Rfam family "Bacterial small subunit ribosomal RNA", at positions 524 to 776 of the family's 1533-position model. The record is from RNAcentral.